Molecule: unclassified non-coding RNA, 452 nt
Filed under: uncultured Cryptococcus
Lineage: Eukaryota; Fungi; Basidiomycota; Tremellomycetes
Description: sequence contains ITS2
Rfam family: 5.8S ribosomal RNA (bases 1-154)
Source: RNAcentral
AACUUUCAACAACGGAUCACUUGGCUCUCCCAUCGAUGAAGAACGCAGCGAAAUGCGAUAAGUAAUGUGAAUUGCAGAAUUCAGCGAAUCAUCGAAUCUUUGAACGCACCUUGCGCUCUUUGGUAUUCCGCAGAGCAUGCCUGUUUGAGUGUCAUGAAAAUAUCAACCUUGACUUGGGUUUAGUGCUCUUGUCCUGGCGUGGAUUUGGCUGCUUGCCGUUCGAAAGAGUCGGCUCAGCUUAAACUUAUUCGCUGGAUCUGUCUUUUAAACUUGGUUUGACUUGUCGUAAUAAGUUAUUUCUCUGAGCACAAUCUUCGUAUUGCCCGAGUUUCUGAGACGUUUGUCCUCUUUCUAAUACAAGUUCUAGCUUGCUAGACAUGUCUUUUUUAUUAUCUGGCCUCUAAUCAGGUAGGACUACCCGCUGAACUUAAGCAUAUCAAUAAGCGGAGGCU